This 253-nucleotide ribosomal RNA is filed under the name uncultured bacterium. RNAcentral's name for it is "partial 16S ribosomal RNA". It matches the Rfam family "Bacterial small subunit ribosomal RNA", at positions 524 to 776 of the family's 1533-position model. The record is from RNAcentral.
GACGAACCGUCCAAACGUUAUUCGGAAUUACUGGGCUUAAAGGGUUCGUAGGCGGCCAACUAAGUCGGAUGUGAAAUCCCCAGGCUCAACUUGGGAACUGCAUCCGAUACUGGAUGGCUUGAAUUCGGGAGAGGGAUGCAGAAUUCCAGGUGUAGCGGUGAAAUGCGUAGAUAUCUGGAGGAAUACCGGUGGCGAAGGCGGCAUCCUGGACCGACAUUGACGCUGAGGAGCGAAAGCUAGGGGAGCAAACGGG